RNAcentral lists this small RNA (135 nucleotides) under Clostridia bacterium. RNAcentral's name for it is "c-di-AMP sequence". It matches the Rfam family "c-di-AMP riboswitch aptamer (ydaO/yuaA leader)". Rfam says of the family: This family represents a conserved RNA structure found upstream of the ydaO and yuaA genes in Bacillus subtilis and related genes in other bacteria. Lineage: Bacteria; Bacillati; Bacillota; Clostridia. The record is from RNAcentral.
UAUAGCUAUACGCUGAAUUCACUUGAAGCGGGGGAACCAAUCUUUUGGGGUGAAUCUCUAUGUUAAAUAGAGUAGGGUCAACUUCUUUCGAUCCGAAUCCGUCAGCUAACCUCGUAAGCGUAGAGAGAAGGAGAU